RNAcentral lists this long non-coding RNA (350 nucleotides) under Medicago truncatula (barrel medic). RNAcentral describes it as "lncRNA gene8513". Lineage: Eukaryota; Viridiplantae; Streptophyta; Magnoliopsida; Fabales; Fabaceae. The record is from RNAcentral.
GCCAAUCGCAUGGUUCUAUUGUUAUGGUGUUUGGCUUCUUUUUGGCAUACAUUUUCAUUUAAAGAAAAAUCUAUCUUUUUUGAGUUUUGGUUCAUUUGAUUCGAGCUAUCGAGUCGAACCGAGUUGUUUGUGAGUUUGAAUUGAGUCGAGUUCGAACUGAAAAAAAGAUUCUGACGAAUCUGAGUCGAGUUUUGAGUUUAUCUAAUUUUUAUCGAGUCAAGCUGAAUCUAGGUUCGACUCAACGCGACUCAUUUUCAGCCCUACCCUAAUGUCACCAAAGUGUUAUACUAAAAAUAAACAUACUAUCAAUUUAGAACUUAGUGGGCUUGUGACUAUUUAGAUUAUAAUUU